RNAcentral lists this long non-coding RNA (265 nucleotides) under Brassica napus (rape). RNAcentral's name for it is "long non-coding RNA (BNAP_LNC000540)". Lineage: Eukaryota; Viridiplantae; Streptophyta; Magnoliopsida; Brassicales; Brassicaceae. The record is from RNAcentral.
AAAUCGUCGCCAAAUAGUCGCAGAUUAGCGUCGAAAUUGAGACUAAUAUCCAAAGAGAAAGAGAAAGAACCGAAGUUGAAGAAAAUAAUACACUUUAAACUGAACUACAUGUAUUAUAUUCUAAGUUCUAACCGGUGACCAAAGGAAUAAAAGAUAACACUACAUUCCUUAAUUUUCCAAAGAAAUGUUACCAUUUAUAAGGAUUUGUUUUCCUUUCUAUUCAUUUUAUCAUAUAGAUAAUAAAACAAAUUUGUUCCUCAUCAAA